Molecule: long non-coding RNA, 350 nt
Organism: Hyla sarda
Lineage: Eukaryota; Metazoa; Chordata; Amphibia; Anura; Hylidae
Exons: 3
Source: RefSeq, a predicted model, not a curated record
CCCGAAGCAGAGGAGAGGGCCUCCCGGUGAAGAUGGACAGCCUGGAACGACUAACCCUCCCCACUGGACGGUCCCUGCAGCAUAGAUGGCCUGGACCAGCUCACCCUUCCUUCCCACCGAGGGGAGGUUCGACCAUAUCCCUCACCGUAUCCAUCAAACUGAUUGGUUAAGGGAUCACCAAUGAAAAUGGGUCCCUAAAAUACAUGUAUGCAAAUCAGAGGUGUACAUGCAUAGUCUAGUAUGCCCGGGCAUAUUUUUGUCCAAGUCCGGUCCUGGCUGCCUGUGACUGUGCGUAGGAGAAAAACCUACAAAUAAGAUGGAGGCUGAAUGGAGGAUUCUUUUUUAAAAGU